UCAACGGAUAAAAGCUACCCUGGGAUAACAGGCUUAUCUCCCCCAAGAGUCCACAUCGACGGGGAGGUUUGGCACCUCGAUGUCGGCUCAUCGCAUCCUGGGGCUGGAAGUAGGUCCCAAGGUUGGGCUGUUCGCCCAUUAAAGCGGUACGCGAGCUGGGUUCAGAACGUCGUGAGACAGUUCGGUCCCUAUCUGUCGUGGGCGUAGGAAAUUUGAGAGGAGCUGUCCUUAGUACGAGAGGACCGGGAUGGACGUACCGCUGGUGUACCAGUUGUUCCGCCAGGAGCACCGCUGGGUAGCUAUGUACGGAAGGGAUAAGCGCUGAAAGCAUCUAAGCGUGAAGCCCCCCUCAAGAUGAGAUUUCCCAGUAUGUAAGACCCCUUGAAGACGACGAGGUAGAUAGGUUGGAGGUGGAAGUGCAGUAAUGCAUGGAGCUGACCAAUACUAAUCGGUCGAGGGCUUAUCCUAAA
RNAcentral lists this ribosomal RNA (470 nucleotides) under Paenibacillus sp. ICGEB2008. RNAcentral's name for it is "bacterial LSU rRNA". It matches the Rfam family "Bacterial large subunit ribosomal RNA", at positions 2449 to 2925 of the family's 2925-position model. Lineage: Bacteria; Bacillati; Bacillota; Bacilli; Caryophanales; Paenibacillaceae. The record is from RNAcentral.